UUUUUUUACAGCUGCACCCAUUUCACUGAAUCUUAAAUGAUGCUUUCAAGACAGAAGGAAGAACAGUACACCUGAGAUGACCCCAAAGCCUACAUCAGGCCUGCUCAACACAGCAGAUCCCAGAUGCUUUUGAGGGCAAUGAAACAAAUCUGAGAUGUACUAGAUCCCGUGAGAAGAAAGGAGUUGAGAAGGAAGGACUAGGAAAAACAAGAACUUGGCCAGAUGUCUCUCCAGGCAGAGCAAGGUGUUGGCGGAGCAACCUUCCUAUAGAGCUGGUUAAUUAGUGACAAGGAAGAGUGUCACCAGGGGCAAAGCUCAUUUCAACUGCUUCCUUUCACGGAAGGCAACAAGGUUCGAGGCACUGAACUUGGACCUUUUCUCUCUGGAAUGGCCAUGACGUUGACUAUUGAAGACUGCUGUAUUCAUCUUGAGUGUUUGGAGCACAAUGAUACAACUGUUCAACCUAUUUGAUAUGGAUUUCUCCUAUUCGGAAGAAAUUUCAACAACUUCACUUCUAACUUAAACACAUUCAUCGACUAGCCUGGCCAACAUGGUGAAACCCCGUGUCUACUAAAAAUACAAAAAUUAGCUGGGCGUGGUGGCAUAUG
This 608-nucleotide long non-coding RNA is filed under the name Homo sapiens (human). Its description in RNAcentral is "HSALNT0384912". Lineage: Eukaryota; Metazoa; Chordata; Mammalia; Primates; Hominidae. The record is from RNAcentral.